This 72-nucleotide transfer RNA is filed under the name seawater metagenome. RNAcentral's name for it is "tRNA-Tyr". It matches the Rfam family "tRNA". Rfam says of the family: Transfer RNA (tRNA) molecules are approximately 80 nucleotides in length. Their secondary structure includes four short double-helical elements and three loops (D, anti-codon, and T loops). Further hydrogen bonds mediate the characteristic L-shaped molecular structure. tRNAs have two regions of fundamental functional importance: the anti-codon, which is responsible for specific mRNA codon recognition, and the 3' end, to which the tRNAs corresponding amino acid is attached (by aminoacyl-tRNA synthetases). tRNAs cope with the degeneracy of the genetic code in two manners: having more than one tRNA (with a specific anti-codon) for a particular amino acid; and 'wobble' base-pairing, i.e. permitting non-standard base-pairing at the 3rd anti-codon position. The record is from RNAcentral.
CUCGAAGUAGCUCAGUGGAAGAGCAGUGGACUGUAAAUCCAUUGGUCGGGUGUUCGAUCCACCCCUUCGAGA